GGGUGUAAAGCUCUGUCGCUGGGACGAAACAAAUGAGGGUNCCNNCUUAGGAAGCAUCGGCUAACUACGUGCCACAGCCGCGGUAAGACGUAGGAUGCAAGCGUUGUCCGGAUUUAUUGGGCGUAAAGAGUUCGAAUGUGGUUUGUUAAAUUUGGUGUUAAAGAUUGGGGCUCAACCCUGAAACUGCACUGAAUACUGGCGGACUCGAGUGUGGUAGAGGCUAGUGGAAUUCCCAGUGUAGGGGGAAAAUGCNUAGAUAUUGGGAAGAACACCGGUGGAGUAGGCGACUAGCUGGGNCAUAACUGACACUGANGAACAAANGCCNGGGGAGCCAAGGGGAUUAGAUACCCCAGUANUCCUGGCCGUAAACGAUGGAUACCAGGCNUAUCGGGUAUCGACCCCUGAUGUGCC
RNAcentral lists this ribosomal RNA (411 nucleotides) under uncultured bacterium. RNAcentral's name for it is "partial 16S ribosomal RNA". It matches the Rfam family "Bacterial small subunit ribosomal RNA", at positions 421 to 847 of the family's 1533-position model. The record is from RNAcentral.